Pelobates cultripes (western spadefoot toad) is the source of this 261-nucleotide non-coding RNA. The record is from the annotation of a GenBank genome assembly. Lineage: Eukaryota; Metazoa; Chordata; Amphibia; Anura; Pelobatidae.
AGAAAUAACAACAUAAAAUAUAGUUGGGGUUUCCCAGCAAGAUUGGUUGUUCACUAUGAGAACUCCAUUAUGUUUGAUUCUGCCCAAAAAGCCACUUCUUGGCAGAAGUCAAAACAAAUUUUUUCCUUAAUGAUGAUAAUGGCAAAAUGUAAAGUCUCAAUAGUUAAAACUUAUUUAUUGCUCUGCUUAAGUUUUUCUUUCCUCCCUACUAUAAAGUAUAGUUAAUUUAGUAUACCUAUCCCCUUCUAUGAUAAAUGCACU